RNAcentral lists this long non-coding RNA (3595 nucleotides) under Nicotiana benthamiana. RNAcentral's name for it is "long non-coding RNA (NBEN_LNC024056)". Lineage: Eukaryota; Viridiplantae; Streptophyta; Magnoliopsida; Solanales; Solanaceae. The record is from RNAcentral.
UUCAAAAGAAAGCCUUUCUCUCUCUAGAUCUCUUUCCUCUCGUAGGAUUCCGAGGGUUUCUUCUUCAUCGGAGAUCUUCCAUUCGCAAUCCCUAUAGAUCUCGCCGUCAUGGCGGCCGCUAAUGCUCCGAUCACUAUGAAAGAAGCCCUAACGGUAGGCUAUUAUUCAUGUUUAACUUUUUUCCCCAACGAUUUAUUGCAAUUUCAUAUUGACUGUUUAAAAUUGAUUGAUUUUCCUACUCUUACUAGUGUUUCACGUGUGAAUUGUUGCUUAGUACCGUGAUUUGAGUUUGAUUGAAGAUCUGAAACCCUAGGCUAUGAUAUUGUCUUAAAUAUUUGAACUUUAGUUUCUAUCUGAUACUAGAAUCUGGAUUUAAAUUUGUAUUUUAAUACGUCAGAAAUGUAGCUCAGAAAUUUGAUAUUAGUUCAUUGCCAGAUCUGAAUCCUAGGUUAUGAUAUAAAGUAGCUCUGAACUUUGAUAUUAGUUCAUUGCCAGAUCUGAAUCCUGGGUUAUGAUAUUAUUUUGGAUUGAGAACUUUAUGUUUCUAUAGUGAAUUUAAAAUCCAGAUUGAAUUUAGUAUUGUUAUUAGUAUUUCUUGCAACUUGGCACAAGCUAAAUGUAGCUUAUAACAGUGAUUAUUUUGUUGCGAGAUCUAAGGCCUUGGUCAUGAUAUUAUUUUGGAUUGAUAACUUUAGUUUAGUAUUUGAAUUUUAAAUCUAGAUUGAAUUAGGUAUUUUAAUACGUCUGAAAUGUGGCUUAGAACUGUGAUAUUAGUUCAUUAUAAGAUCUGUGACCUCAGUUAUGUCUAUGUGAAUUUAAAAUCUGGAUUGAUUUCGUAUUCUUAUCAGUGAUUUGGUAGCUUAGCAUGUGUGAAUUGUGUCUUUGAAUUGUGAUAUUACUUCAUUACCAGAUCUGUGAUGUAUGUUUGGAUAUCAUUUUGGAUUGAGAACUUAAGUUUUUAUGUGAAUUUAAAAUCUGGCUAGAAUUUCAUAUCUUUAUUUGUGUUUUAUGCAAUAUAUCAUGUAAGCAACCCCCACUUCCAACAAGAGGGGUUGCUCUGAUGGUAAGCAACCCCCACUUCCAACCAAGAGGUUGUGAGUUCGANNNNNNNNNNNNNNNNNNNNNNNNNNNNNNNNNNNNNNNNNNNNNNNNNNNNNNNNNNNNNNNNNNNNNNNNNNNNNNNNNNNNNNNNNNNNNNNNNNNNNNNNNNNNNNNNNNNNNNNNNNNNNNNNNNNNNNNNNNNNNNNNNNNNNNNNNNNNNNCCAAGGGUAGGGGUAAGGUCUGCGUACACACUACCCUACCCAGACCCCACUAAGUGGGAUUAUACUGGGUUGUUGUUGUUGUUGUUGUUGUUAUACAAUAUAUCAUGUAUGAUAUGUCGCUUAGAACUGUGGCAAGGCGCAUUACCAGAUGUGUGACCCAGGAUAUGAUAUCUUUUUGGACUGAGAACUUAAGUGUCUACAUGAUUUUUAAAUCUAGAAUGAAUUUCGUAUCCCUGUAACUUUUUCUGUGAACAUAGUAUGUGUGAAAUGUGGUGUGAAACUACUUCAUUACAGAUCUGCAACCUAGGUUAUGGUAUUAUUUUGAAUCUAGAGAGCAAGAGUAUAUGCGAAAUUAAAUAUAUGACUGAAAUUUCGUAUUCUUGUUAGUGUUUCUGGCAACUUAGCACAUGAGAAAUGUGGCUUAGUUCAUCACCAGAUCUGCGCCUAGGUUAUAAUAUUCUCUUGAUGUGAGAACUCAAGUUCUUUGAAUUUAGUGUCUUGAAUUUUGUUUUCUUAUUAGUGUUUCUGGAAACAUAGCACGUACGAAAUGUGGCUUUGAACUGUGAUUUUAAUUUAUUCCCUGAUCUUGUGACUUAGGUUAUGAUAUUAUCGGGAAUUGAGAACUACAUUUUCUUUGUGAAUUUAAAAUCUGGAUUGGAUUUCAUAUUCUUAUUUGUUAUUCUGGCUGCUUAGUACAUGUGAAAUGUGGCUUUGAAUUGUGAUAUUAUUUCAUUACUGGCUAUAGGUUAUGAUAUUAUUUUGCAUUAAGAACUUAAGUUUCUGUGCACCCAAGCCCUAGUGGUCAAUGUAGUGGGAGGAAAAUCAUGAGUGUCUUAGACCCCGUUUGGCGAAGCUGCUAAAAACUGCUAAUUUUGAAAAGUACUUCUGUUCCAAAGCGAUUUUCGAAAAAGUAUCUUUGGAGAAAAAAAAGUUGUGUUUGGCCACUUCAUUUGAGAGGUGCUUUUUGCAAUAUUUGAUAAGCAAAUUGUGUUUGGCCAAUAUUUUCAAAAAGUACUUUUUAGCUUCAAAUUAUAGAAAAGGACAGUAAAAGUUUACUUUACAAUCAAUAUUAUGUAAAACAUAUUUAUUAUAAAAUAAUUUAAUUAGUUUUUAUUUUUAUUCAGUUAAAAUAUAAAAUAUAUAAUUAAAAUAUAUAUUAAAGAUUAUUGGGUAUCUGGUAUUAUUACUUAUUGUUUAAAUGAUGAAUUAGAUAUAUCAAAAUACAUCAUUAAUUCAGUAUACAUUAAAAAUUUACUCCAUAAUUCACUAUCUAAAUGUAAAAGAAAGAUUUAUUUAUAAUAGAGAGACUGUUCCAAUGAGGAAUAGGAGAAGGAAAAGAAGUAUGGUUUAAAUAAAAAAGAGAAGAAAGGGAUGAUAGAAACAAAAAGAAAAAGGAAAAAGUUAAAUUAAUGAGGGAUUUUAUGGUGAGCAUAUUUUUGUCUUGAAAAAAUUAAUUUUCUGCUUCCACCAAUAAGGUAGAAUUUGUAGCUUCUUCCCAAAAGUAGAAAAAUUGCUUCUGAGGCUGCUCAAAAGUAGUGUCUCGCCAAACACCUUAAAUUUUCGAAAAACUGCUUUUCUGACAAAAAAAAAGUACUUUUGGCUAAACAGCUCUUACAUUCAAAUCUCAGCGGAGGCAAAAGACCACUGGGGCGAUUGCCUUCCAUCUGCCUAGCUUUUUUUGAGCAGAAUAACCCGAUAUCGUUGAAGCAGUUGAGAUGCGUGCAAGCUAGCAUCGCCACCACUGCCAUCCAAAACAAUGAACUUAAGUUUCUUUACGAACUUAAAAUCUCUUCGUAUUCUUGGUAGUGUUUUUGACAACUUAGCACAUCUGAAAUGCGGCUUCGAACUUUGAUAUCAGCACACUACCAUAUCUAUGACCCACGUAAGGAUAUCAUUUUGGACUGAGAUUUUAAGUUUCUUUAUGAAUUAUAUAGCUGGAUUGGAUUUCAUAUUCUUAUUAGUGCUUUGGCUUCCUAUCACAUGUGAGAUGUGGCUUAGAACUGUGAUAGUUCGUUGCCGGACUGCGAGCUAGGCAUUGAGCCUUUGUUUUAAUUCAAAUAUAAAAAUUUGAUUGAGUUGUGUUCUAAUUAUUUUUUUCGGCAAUUUAACGCGUGUGAAGUGUGGCUUAGAACUAUGAUAUUAGUUCAUUCCCAGAUUUAAAAUAUGGAUUGAAUUUUUCUUGUGUCUGUCGGUGUUGCAGUUGCAAAGUAUAGGGGUUAAUCCGCAGUUCAUCACGUUCACCAAUGUUACCAUGGAAUCAGAUAAGUAUAUAUGUGUUCGGGAGACUGCACCGCAAAAUAGUGUGGUGAUUAUUGAUAUGAACAUGCCUAUGC